AGUGAGCGCUGGCGGUAGGCCUAACACAUGCAAGUCGAACGGCAGCACAGUAAGAGCUUGCUCUUACGGGUGGCGAGUGGCGGACGGGUGAGGAAUACAUCGGAAUCUACUUUUUCGUGGGGGAUAACGUAGGGAAACUUACGCUAAUACCGCAUACGACCUACGGGUGAAAGCAGGGGAUCUUCGGACCUUGCGCGAUUGAAUGAGCCGAUGUCGGACUAGCUAGUUGGCGGGGUAAAGGCCCACCAAGGCGACGAUCCGUAGCUGGUCUGAGAGGAUGAUCAGCCACACUGGAACUGAGACACGGUCCAGACUCCUACGGGAGGCAGCAGUGGGGAAUAUUGGACAAUGGGCGCAAGCCUGAUCCAGCCAUACCGCGUGGGUGAAGAAGGCCUUCGGGUUGUAAAGCCCUUUUGUUGGGAAAGAAAAGCAGCAGGUUAAUACCCCGCUGUUCUGACGGUACCCAAAGAAUAAGCACCGGCUAACUUCGU
RNAcentral lists this ribosomal RNA (491 nucleotides) under uncultured bacterium. RNAcentral describes it as "partial 16S ribosomal RNA". It matches the Rfam family "Bacterial small subunit ribosomal RNA", at positions 29 to 506 of the family's 1533-position model. The record is from RNAcentral.